AGAAAGAGAAGGGGUUAAGUUGACAUGACCAGAACCCAUGACAAAAGAUUUAGUACCAUUAGCAAGAGUAACAUAAGAAGUCGAUGCAUGAGACUCAAGAUUGGACAAAAGGGUAGAAUUACCUGACAUAUGAUCGGUAGCACCAGAAUCAAUAAUCCAUUUGGAGGAUGAAGACACAAGACAUGCAGUAGAGUUACCUGACUCGGCAAUUGCAGUGAUAGAGGAGGAAUUAGAGGAUUUCAGAGAUACCUGGUAUUGGGUGAAUUGUGCAUACUCAUCUUCAGAUAUCAAAAUCCCUUGAUCUGAAGGGGCCUCAACUGCCAUAUGUGCCAUUUGUGUGCGCUGAUUCUUAUUCUGUAGUUUUUGAUAUGUCUUCUUAGUAUGUCCUGUUCGCGGC
This 397-nucleotide long non-coding RNA is filed under the name Manihot esculenta (cassava). RNAcentral's name for it is "long non-coding RNA (MESC_LNC001338)". The record is from RNAcentral. Lineage: Eukaryota; Viridiplantae; Streptophyta; Magnoliopsida; Malpighiales; Euphorbiaceae.